Molecule: non-coding RNA, 31 nt
Filed under: Mus musculus (house mouse)
Lineage: Eukaryota; Metazoa; Chordata; Mammalia; Rodentia; Muridae
Source: RNAcentral
UAGAAGUGGCUUCUAAAUAGCACACAAUGGC